UACGUAGGCGGUUUAUUAAGUCAGAUGUGAAAGCCCCGGGCUUAACCUGGGAACUGCAUUUGAUACUGGUAAACUAGAGUAUGGUAGAGGGGGGUAGAAUUCCUAGUGUAGCGGUGAAAUGCGUAGAUAUUAGGAGGAAUACCAGUGGCGAAGGCGGCCCCCUGGACCAAUACUGACGCUGAGGUACGGAAGCGUGGGUAGCGAACA
RNAcentral lists this ribosomal RNA (207 nucleotides) under uncultured bacterium. Its description in RNAcentral is "partial 16S ribosomal RNA". It matches the Rfam family "Bacterial small subunit ribosomal RNA", at positions 568 to 774 of the family's 1533-position model. The record is from RNAcentral.